RNAcentral lists this long non-coding RNA (935 nucleotides) under Gallus gallus (chicken). RNAcentral's name for it is "lncRNA (ENSGALG00010021349.1)". Lineage: Eukaryota; Metazoa; Chordata; Aves; Galliformes; Phasianidae. The record is from RNAcentral.
CAAAAAGCAAGCUUGAGUAGCUUGGGCUUCACCUCUUGUUUUCAGGAUGUGCUUACCUAAAGUGGAGAACACUGUUGGCGAGGACUGGUAGCUUAUGCUUAGGGAAGACACUGGACAUCUGUUUUCAGAUAUCACAAAGCUAAGAGACAGUGCUGAAAUCUAGGAUGAGUCACAGCAUCACCAAGAUUGGAGAAGACCUCCAAGAUCAUCCAGUCCAGCCCUCCACCUACCACCAUUUCUCCCCCCUAAAACAUGUCUGAGUACACACAGGAAAUGUGAAAGCCCACACCAGUACAACCACAGGUGCUGGGAGGCCCCCCUGCUGCUCCACCAUGCCUGCAACUCUCUGGUCCCUUAAAUUAACAUCCCUUUUCACCAGGCCUUCUUCUGCAGAGAAAGUUGGUAUUCUCUUGCCUGGUACAAAAAUCCUUAUCCCAGUCAUGAACAUGAGCUCUGUCAGAGGCCCUCUAAACCACAGCAGUCUGAAGGGAUAUUAUAUGGGAACUGUUGAGUCACGUUCUGAACCACUGAUUGAUCACUGGGGAAAGGACCCCAUCAGCCCUGGGAGCACAGGUGAAGGCAAUUCCGCUGUGUGAUCAGAAGGGGUGGAGCCUGGCUGCAUCUCUGUUAGACCCCAUUUAAGGGCUGACCCCCACUGGUUGGGGAUCCUUCCUUGUGGAGUUUUCUCUAUAAGCCUACCUACUCAGAGGUGGGUGAGCAUUCCUUUCCUGUUUGUCCCUUUUUCUAUUCUGUUCCUGCAUUUCCUUUCUACUGUGCUAAUCUUUCCAACUGUAACAGAUAUCACAUAAAUAAAAACACAUUGGGAGAGAUUUCAGUAUUAGCUACAAAGUGAUAUGUCUUAUUUCCAGUCAUAAAGAGUUCCAGUAAGACUUCUGAUAAAGCAAAGACAUCUUUAAUGAUCUUGCUCUGUGCCA